UUUAAACAAAAGAUGGUGAGGAUUAGGAGGAGAAAAUCAAGCCCAUGAUGCACUUCAUCACCAUACUCCCUGCCUUGGCCAUUAAACAUUUCCCUGAGUUGCUUACCUGGUAACUAAGCUGUUCACAGCUUGUCUUCUGUCCUUUUUGGGAGUUGUAACAAGGUCAACCCUGGCUAUCACAAAGACCCAGAGGAGGGCUGUUUAUGUCAUCUUGGAAAAGGAAGCAGGUUUCCCAGGCAUGCUUUCUGGUCUGGAUGCUGACUGUGCAAUCUCUCAGGCCCUCCUAAGCAUUCUGCUUAAACAAACAUUAUUUAUGUUCAGCAGGAGAACCAUUCCCUACUGUCUGCUUUCUCUUCACUCACGUAAAACUGCACGUUUAAUUUCUGUUUACACACAUAUAAACCAUAUCUUUAGGAGCAGCUUGGGAAAUCCUUGGUUGAAGAUGGAUUUUGCCUUUGGAAAACACUGAGGAUUGAUUAUCAUAGCAUGCUGUUUAUGAGAAAAUCUACCACUUGUAAAUCAAAGGAAAUGGGAGAUUUGAUUUGAAACUAGACUGUACAUUGGGAUUACAAGGUAACAGCUGUCCUGGGAACUAUUUCUGAAAGUAUGUCAAUAUUUUGGUGAGUUGGCUACCUGUGCUAUUAUGUUCCAAUAUACAGAUUUGGGUUCACUAAUGUCUCUCUUAUUGACACUAUUGUGUAGUACUGAACUUUGAAGGAACGACUGAUGUCCUUCUCACUCAAAUAUGAAAACCUAGGGACAGUCUUUCACAGCUGACAAUGGGAAUAUGAAAUAGGACCAAUGCUCUGCCCUCAUCUCCCUGUCUUCAAGAUAGUUAACAUUCGGUGACGCUUCAGUGAUGUGCCAGGAGAUCCUAGAUUUCCUCAAUGUGAAUGAACUGCUAGUUUUCUCAUAAAAACCGUAUCUUAGGAGAUAUCCUCUUUUCAAAAGUGAGAAACUGAGGCAUGAAUGAGCUUUGGUGAUUAUUGAUGAUUUUGGUUUGGAUGGGCCCCAGAUUUUCUGGGCUCAUGCUGUCAAAGUCCUAGAAACUUCUGAGGCCAAGCAGGGGACUCUGGUAUGAGCAGUUUGAAUCCCAGGACCUGCCUGUGGUUAAGAUUCUGAACUUUUACGCUGUGGUUGGGAGCAUCCUUAUAGGGAUCUUUUUCUCCCUGCUGAGCUCUGUGAUUUGGGCUGGAAACUUUUCCGUAUGUUCUAUUUGAGCCUGUCCCACCAUUUGAAACUUCCU
Panthera uncia (snow leopard) is the source of this 1246-nucleotide long non-coding RNA. RefSeq lists it as uncharacterized. The transcript is spliced from 3 exons. The record is from RefSeq and is a predicted model, not a curated record. Lineage: Eukaryota; Metazoa; Chordata; Mammalia; Carnivora; Felidae.